GAGGGUAUAGCGCAGUGGUAGAGUGUAUGCCUAACAUACACAGGGUCCUGGGUUCAAUCCCCAGUACCUCCA
This 72-nucleotide transfer RNA is filed under the name Camelus bactrianus (Bactrian camel). It matches the Rfam family "tRNA". From Rfam's summary of the family: Transfer RNA (tRNA) molecules are approximately 80 nucleotides in length. Their secondary structure includes four short double-helical elements and three loops (D, anti-codon, and T loops). Lineage: Eukaryota; Metazoa; Chordata; Mammalia; Artiodactyla; Camelidae. The record is from Rfam by way of RNAcentral. RNAcentral also lists the same sequence under 3 other names.